AGACAGGCCUGCUGAAGGAAUUGACUUCUGAAAGAUCUUAUGCCAGCUCUCUAAAGUAUCUAAAAGGAGACAUCAUAAGUGAUAUAAUCUCCAGUUGCCAUACAUGGAGCUGGAUCCCAAAGAAAGAAGAAAACAGUUCUACAAGUAAGUAGAUUUCUUGUUAGUUAAGAUAGUCAUUUUCUAUAUAUAGAUGCUUGUUUCUUGCUUUUGCUACCAUGUUUAGCCUCUGGGACUCUUCUUGGUUGUAUCUAGUUUGUUGUUUUUGGCUCAUUUUGACAUUCUCUGUGUAUUGUAUUUUUAAUAUCAAAUCAUAGAUUUAGCAACAAGCCUGGAAACAGAUUAAGUUUCUUGUCCCAGAGAUGCUGCUCAAAAUGAAGAUGCAGCCCGGGGUGUAAGGCAGAUCUCAGCUUCGGUGUCUUUGGGGAGUCUGGCUGCUAGUGAGGUGUGAACUUUCAUUGAUCUUUGGGAAUUGUUAAUGUCAUACCUAGUUAGAGCGUUUAUGGGCCAACCCUAGUUAAGUUGCCGACCACAAAACCACAGAGAGUAAGUCCUAGACUUGUGAUUACAAAAGGAAAACGUGAAUGUUUCUGAAGACUGUAGCUAACUAGCAUCUGCCUCAAACCAACAAUAAAUCUUUAACCAUCUGUAUGACAACUCAGUCUAUUUUGUGGGAAGAAGAGGUAUGUAUACUUCAGAAGGUGUGCUUGCAUCUUCCUUUUUUGAGUUUAAAGGAUAAGUUACUUUAAUUGAUGUAUCGUCCAGCCAGUUUAGAGCAAGUGAAUAACUUUCAAAGUAGAAAGCAGUUUCAGCUACGGAGAAUAGACGAUAAUGUCAGUGGAAGUUUUUCCCCCUUAAAGUGGUUGAAAGCGUAUCAUAGCAGAUGUUUUCUGUGUUUGGAUUGUUUUCCCAUGAAACCCAUCAAUGAUGUUUGCACAUGAUGGUUUAGUUCCCUAGGUCAGGAGAUCAUGAGCAAACUUAUCUGAUCCCAUAUAUUGGAGGUUAGAAAUCUUCUUUGUUGACUUUGCACAGUGGCAACUAUUUCGAAAGAAAUAAUCUUUGUCUUAGUAGGAUAAAUUGAAGUUGUAAUCAGGUCAGCAAGAAAUUAACAUAAAGCCCAAGCAAAGCAAACUUGGUCCUUGUUUCUCUGUGUUAACACGGAACAUUGUAUUUAUUAUGUCCAUCAAAAUAUAGGAGGUCUGGGGCCAGCUGGUGGCGUAGUGGUUGAAUUCGCAUGCUCCGAUUCAGUGGCCUGGGGUUCUUGGGUUCGGAUCCCGGGCGUAGACCACUCAUCAAGCCAUGCUGUGGUGGCAUCUCACGUACAAAAUAGAGGAGGAUUGGCACAGAUGUUAGCUCAGUGACAGUUUUCCUCCAGUAAAAAGAGGGAGAUUGGCAACGGAUGUUAGCUCAGGGCCAGUCUUCCUCAGCAAGAAAAAAAACAUAGGAGGGCUGGUUUAGACUGAAAAUAUUGUGAACUCUUCUUUGUGAAAGAAAUCUCCAAGAGUUUCCUGAGAAGGCAGUUCAUCGUCUCUAAGCCUCUUGCCUUUCCUUCAACUGUGGGUUUCCUGGCCAGCACGUAACAGCAUCGUGUGAAGCUACAUUAAAUUAGAGGACACUCAGGGGUGAUAUUAAUAGCCUGUAUUGACAUUUUUUCAUGGCUUAAGGAGC
Molecule: long non-coding RNA, 1665 nt
Organism: Equus caballus (horse)
Lineage: Eukaryota; Metazoa; Chordata; Mammalia; Perissodactyla; Equidae
Source: Ensembl